AACUCGCCAGUGGCCGCAGGGACCCGCAGGAAGCUGGCCGACGGGAGCGGGAAGAGACCAGCCGAGCCCUCGCAUCAGCCAUCCCCUUGGGCAUGUGCGCCGUUGGGAAGGUGUUUGUUCAGCAGAACUGUGUGGGAAGCGAUGCUAGCUAAGCCUGUGCAAAGACAGAAACUCAUUAGAACUACUGAAAGCACAGCAAGAAGUCACUUUGUGGAUUGAUUUGGCAAAACAAGCCAAGGACUGACAAAUACCUUAACAACGUCGAAAGUAGCCUAUUUUAAGAGGAAAUAUGCAGAAGAAGAAGAUUUACAUCAAGAUUACCCAGGGUAUUUUCCAAAACACCUGAUAUUACCUGAAGAUCGGACCUGUAUUUUGAAACUUUCUCUGCAGAAGCUCCAGUUUCUUGAAGAUCCUGAGCUCUAUCUCCGCCGCUCAGUGCUGAUUAACAACUUGUUGCGGAAGAUUCACCUGGAAACUGAGCGUGAACGCUAUGAGUAUCUUAAGGAAAGCCCAUGCUAUAGGACUGCCUAUUCGGAUACAAGAAAACGGCUGAAGUUCAUGGUACAAGAAUGCCGUUCUCAGUCCCUUUAUUACAAAGAACUGCAUUCGUAUCAUAUUGUGCCUUAUUCUCCGGAGAAUGCCAUUUAUGGAGUGGGCUAUUCAAGUGGCCACUUGGAGCAAAAUUCUCAACUGCUUAUUUAUAAAAUGAAAUGAGUGGGGUGUUUUUGUUUGUUUUUAAGAAAGACAUGUGGAUCGUUUUGUUUCUGGAUCCCUGAAUGGCUUAUUACCAUGCUAAAGUGAUGCAUUGAUGUGCAAACGUGGGAGAGAUCAAAGGUGCAAGUCACCUUCAGCUAUAUUGCAGAAUGCUCCGUGGUAGCAUUUAGGACUUGAGGCUGCUUGGCUGCACAGCGAUGGUGCCCGUAUCAAAACAGGGCAAUCCAGGAUUUCUAAUAAGCCAUGAGCCCUGGUGUGAAGCGCUUAUUGGCUGUUCAGUUUUCUAUAUGUAUAUAUUUAGACUAACUUUAACUGCUAAGUUAUGCCACCUUUCCUUAGAAAUGUAGACUGACAAUAAGAGAGUAAUAUGCUGGCUGGGCUGAAGUGAGGGUUUGGGGGCGGAUAGCUACUUCUCAGAAAGGUCUAAAAGACUCAUAGUCAUUAAAAAUACUGAUUCAUUUACAUCACCCCUCUUUUUGAAUAUUCAGCAGCAUUAACCAUCUAUGCUUAAUCCUUUAUUUGCUAGCAUGCUUGAUUUCUGUUUCAGUCAGUACUGAUUUUAUUAAAAUUCAAUGAUAUCGAGAUCUGGAAAUGGAUAAUUGGGGGUGAGAGAGGGAGCCACAUUCUUUUGCUUCUUAAACUUGGCCAGAAUCCUCUUUCUGAAUUGCUGUUAUAUUGAUCUGGCUCUAGAAAUGCAGGAUGCCUAUUAUAAGAGUGGGAACAGCAUUUUUUUUUUAAACUAGGACCCCGAUGUAAUUGUAAGAAAGAUUUCUGAUCCAGCACCCACA
Molecule: long non-coding RNA, 1502 nt
Organism: Candoia aspera
Lineage: Eukaryota; Metazoa; Chordata; Lepidosauria; Squamata; Candoiidae
Exons: 4
Source: RefSeq, a predicted model, not a curated record